UAAGACCCCAAACCCAAACACUUAUAACAAGCCAUGUGUGACUAUUAGAGUCACAAGAACAACACUAUAACUAUGUACAUUGUAACCACAUGAGAAAAUUUAAACAUUUACAUUUAACCACACUUACAUCUCUAAAAUCUCUUUUUAAUCCUUUCUUUCUCUCUCACCCACCCAAUUUUACACGAGACAAAAUCUUAUUUCGUGUCCUACAGCUUAACAAUUUUAUAUCAAGUACCUCUCCUCCUACAUAUGAAAGUUUCAUGUCUG
Molecule: long non-coding RNA, 267 nt
Filed under: Glycine max (soybean)
Lineage: Eukaryota; Viridiplantae; Streptophyta; Magnoliopsida; Fabales; Fabaceae
Description: long non-coding RNA (GMAX_LNC004016)
Source: RNAcentral